This 216-nucleotide unclassified non-coding RNA is filed under the name uncultured fungus. RNAcentral describes it as "sequence contains ITS1, 5.8S rRNA gene". The stretch from base 168 to 216 matches the Rfam family "5.8S ribosomal RNA", at positions 1 to 49 of the family's 154-position model. Lineage: Eukaryota; Fungi. The record is from RNAcentral.
UCUCCGUUGGUGAACCAGCGGAGGGAUCAUUACCGAGUUUACAACUCCCAAACCCCAUGUGAACCGAAACCUGUUGCUUCGGGGGCGACCCUGCCUUUCGGCGCGGCGCCCCCGGAGGCUCAUCAAACACUGCAUCUCUGCGUCGGAGUCUUAAUGAAUUUAAACAAAACUUUUAACAACGGAUCUCUUGGUUCUGGCAUCGAUGAAGAACGCAGC